AUUGAACGCUGGCGGCAUGCUUUACACAUGCAAGUCGAACGGUAACAGGCCGAGCGUUGCUGACGAGUGGCGGACGGGUGCGUAAUGCUUAGGCACGUGUCCCCUCGCUGGGGGUAACUACUCACAAGAGUAGCCCAUACCUCAUACGAGCUAUUGAUUAGAGCGGGGGACCGUAAGGCCUCGCGCCGUUUUUGCGGCCGCUGUCAGAUUAGGUAGUUGGUCGGGUAACGGCUGACCAAGGCAACGAUCUGUAGCUGGUCUGAGAGGAGGACCAGCCACACUGGGACUGAGACACGGCCCAGACUCCUACGGGAGGCAGCAGUGGGGAAUCUUGGACAAUGGGCGAAAGCCUGAUCCAGCAACGCCGCGUGAAUGAAGAAGGUCUUCGGGUUGUAAACUUCUUUUGUAAGGAAAGAAACGGCUCUGGUUAAUACCCGGGGCUAAUGACGGUACCGAAAGAAUAAGCACCGGCUAACUACGUG
RNAcentral lists this ribosomal RNA (482 nucleotides) under uncultured bacterium. RNAcentral describes it as "partial 16S ribosomal RNA". It matches the Rfam family "Bacterial small subunit ribosomal RNA", at positions 30 to 507 of the family's 1533-position model. The record is from RNAcentral.